GCCCAGGUGGUGAAAUUGGUAGACACGCCAGAUUUAGGUUCUGGUGCUGCAAGGUGUGAAGGUUCGAGUCCUUUCCUGGGCA
RNAcentral lists this transfer RNA (82 nucleotides) under Chlamydiales bacterium. Its description in RNAcentral is "tRNA-Leu". It matches the Rfam family "tRNA". From Rfam's summary of the family: Transfer RNA (tRNA) molecules are approximately 80 nucleotides in length. Lineage: Bacteria; Pseudomonadati; Chlamydiota; Chlamydiia; Chlamydiales. The record is from RNAcentral.